GACGAACGCUGGCGGCGUGCUUAACACAUGCAAGUCGAACGGUAAGGCCCUUCGGGGUACACGAGUGGCGAACGGGUGAGUAACACGUGGGUGAUCUGCCCUGCACUUCGGGAUAAGCCUGGGAAACUGGGUCUAAUACCGGAUAGGACUCCGGACUGCAUGGUCUGGGGUGGAAAGCUUUUGCGGUGUGGGAUGGGCCCGCGGCCUAUCAGCUUGUUGGUGGGGUGAUGGCCUACCAAGGCGACGACGGGUAGCUGGCCUGAGAGGGUGACCGGCCACACUGGGACUGAGAUACGGCCCAGACUCCUACGGGAGGCAGCAGUGGGGAAUAGUGCACAAUGGGCGCAAGCCUGAUGCAGCGACGCCGCGUGAGGGAUGACGGCCUUCGGGUUGUAAACCUCUUUCAGCAUCGACGAAGCGAAAGUGACGGUAGGUGCAGAAGAAGGACCGGCCAACUACGUGCCAGCAGCCGCCGUAA
RNAcentral lists this ribosomal RNA (478 nucleotides) under uncultured bacterium. RNAcentral's name for it is "partial 16S ribosomal RNA". It matches the Rfam family "Bacterial small subunit ribosomal RNA", at positions 28 to 523 of the family's 1533-position model. The record is from RNAcentral.